UACGUAGGCAGCAAGCGUUGUUCGGAGUUACUGGGCGUAAAGGGUGUGUAGGCGGUUGUUUAAGUUUGGUGUGAAAUCUCCCGGCUCAACUGGGAGGGUGCGCCGAAUACUGAAUGACUAGAGUGCGGGAGAGGAAAGUGGAAUUCCUGGUGUAGCGGUGAAAUGCGUAGAUAUCGGAAGGAACACCAGUGGCGAAAGCGGCUUCCUGGUCCGACACCGACGUUCAGGCACGAAAGCGUGGGGAGCAAACAGG
RNAcentral lists this ribosomal RNA (253 nucleotides) under uncultured bacterium. Its description in RNAcentral is "partial 16S ribosomal RNA". It matches the Rfam family "Bacterial small subunit ribosomal RNA", at positions 524 to 776 of the family's 1533-position model. The record is from RNAcentral.